Molecule: ribosomal RNA, 468 nt
Filed under: uncultured bacterium
Lineage: Bacteria
Description: partial 16S ribosomal RNA
Rfam family: Bacterial small subunit ribosomal RNA
Source: RNAcentral
GAUGAACGCUGGCGGCGUGCUUAACACAUGCAAGUCGAACGGUGAAGGCGGAGCUUGCUCUGCUGGAUCAGUGGCGAACGGGUGAGUAACACGUGAGCAAUCUGCCCCUGACUCUGUGAUAAGCGCUGGAAACGGCGUCUAAUACUGGAUACGAGCUGCGAAGGCAUCUUCAGCAGCUGGAAAGAAUUUCGGUCAGGGAUGAGCUCGCGGCCUAUCAGCUUGUUGGUGAGGUAAUGGCUCACCAAGGCGUCGACGGGUAGCCGGCCUGAGAGGGUGACCGGCCACACUGGGACUGAGACACGGCCCAGACUCCUACGGGAGGCAGCAGUGGGGAAUAUUGCACAAUGGGCGAAAGCCUGAUGCAGCAACGCCGCGUGAGGGACGACGGCCCUCGGGUUGUAAACCUCUUUUAGCAGGGAAGAAGCGAAAGUGACGUUACCUGCAGAAAAAGCGCCGGCUAACUACGUG